UUCAAAGAUAGGUCUGCUAGGGUAACGCGUUUUCUCAUCUUCUUCUCUCUGGUUCGCUACCCUCGCCGCCACAACACGCGUCAGACGCCGCCGCUUCCCUGCGUCCGCCGCCCCUCGUCACAUUCUCGGAGGAACGAACUAUCAGUAUCACCAAUAUAGGGUAGGUUACUAGGUAAAACUAUUCAUAAGCCAAUUUAGAGAAAGAACGAGAACCAGAGCGAUCCUUGAUGACACUGAAAUAAGACAACUUUCCUCAACCCCACUUCUUGUUGAGGACGACAAACCCAGCAAGGAAGCACAUUCUGCUGCAACUACUAUAACAUUCAUCACGUUGGUCCCGGCCAAAAGUUGCGGCACGUGCAGUAUCUACUGAUGGACUCAGACCAAGUUUCUAUUUUCAAUUAAUGUUGUAGUUUACGUUAUUCAGCUUGCUUUAUGGUUGUUAUUAUGGUGGAAACCUAUUAGGGUGCUGCUCAUCCUGUCUAAGGUGUUCUUUGCAGUCUUAAUUGGAGCUUGAUCAUUAUUUGUAUCCCGGAUAAAGGUGAUGAAUCAAGGCCAAUCAUACUUCAUCUGGAUUCUUUGAGUCUUCACUCUAGCAGAUCACUAUUUGAUAACAUCAAAAGGUUAGGAUGAAGUAGCACUUGAUUUAUUGUAUACCAUAUAUGUGACAUAUCUAGUUCAUUUCUAAUCUGGUUAUUAGUUCUUGAACAUAUCACAGCUUCCAUAUCUUGUGACUUCACUACCAUCCUAUGUUACAAGUAGGUAUUUUUCUUAUGUUCUUGUAAUUUGUAAGCAUAUAUGUAGAUUAAUGUAAAAUUGACCUCACCAUUACUUUAUAUUAUUCAUUCAACUUUGCCCAGUAUUCUUAAAAUGUAUAGUUACAAACAAGCUAGCUAAAUCCAUACGUAUGCUUAUAGAGAAAAUCACGUGUCACAAAAUGGUCCUCUGACCUUGUAUCUUAAUGACAUGAUACAAGUUUGAAAACUUAAAUGUUAUGCAGAUUUUACAGUUUGAAUGAAAGGAUUGAAAUAAUGACUAGUUAUUAAUUAUUAAGAGGCUUGUAAUGUUGUUGUAUUUAAUGGCGCCACUGAACAUGGUUUGUCCAAAAUAGUUGCCAUGUUGUUCCAAGUCAUUAGCAAUUAAGAACCCUAAGAUUCCAAACACAAUACUUUUAAUGAUUAAAUUUCCUCACAUCCAUGUUCUAUGGAUUUGAGUACCUCUCUCUCUGUAAAUUUGCCACCACUCUAUACAAAUUGCCAAAACCACUUUUGUGUGCUGAUGCAGCAGCUGGCACAGGAAAGUGCCUUUCACAAUAUAUAACGAGAAAAUUAAACACCUCAUCAAUCAACUCAAAGAAAG
This is a long non-coding RNA of Arachis duranensis, 1359 nucleotides long. RefSeq lists it as uncharacterized. The transcript is spliced from 5 exons. NCBI's taxonomy places the organism in Eukaryota, Viridiplantae, Streptophyta, Magnoliopsida, Fabales, Fabaceae. The record is from RefSeq and is a predicted model, not a curated record.